Molecule: long non-coding RNA, 298 nt
Filed under: Brachypodium distachyon (stiff brome)
Lineage: Eukaryota; Viridiplantae; Streptophyta; Magnoliopsida; Poales; Poaceae
Description: long non-coding RNA (BDIS_LNC005174)
Source: RNAcentral
CGCCGGGAGCCCGGGAUGUGGUCCACCAUGGCCGGGGUUUGGCACUUUGGCUGCUGCCAUCUCGGGGAUCGUCACACGGCCGUAGUUUUUUUUCUUUUUCUAAGACGAUCCGGGAAUCAAGCGACUCUUGGGUAGAUGGGACAUGGAAAGGUACAUUUAGCUAAGGGGUUGCUGGCAAAUUAGCAGGCCUAACUUGAACAUGAUGCGGGCGUCUCACCGCAAAUUUACCACGCUCCAAAUCCAAGACGUCAGAUGUGAAUUGGGUGACUGAAGGAUGUCGGAUGCAGGGAUACACGAA